AGCCUAUUUUUUGAUAGAUAAACUGCACUGAUCCAUGGAGGGAAGCUAGAUGGUAGGUUUCCAAAGAAAUUGUUCUCUGACAAAUCCAAGGUAUAAAGAGAAGUCAUAUUCCUUAUCCAACUAGGGAUGAUACCAAAGAGAUGAUUAUCGCUCACAUCCAACAUUUCCAACAUUGUGCAAUUUCUUAUGCUAUGUGGGAUACUCCCAUUGAAUUGAUUGCCAUCCAACAAUA
RNAcentral lists this unclassified non-coding RNA (232 nucleotides) under Hevea brasiliensis (rubber tree). The record is from RNAcentral. Lineage: Eukaryota; Viridiplantae; Streptophyta; Magnoliopsida; Malpighiales; Euphorbiaceae.